UCAGAGCGAACGCUGGCGGCGUGCCUAACACAUGCAAGUCGAGCGGGGUUAAGCCUAUGGCAACAUAGGUUUAACCCAGCGGCGGACGGGUGAGUAACACGUAGGUGACCUACCCCUGGGAGUGGGAUAACCACUGGAAACGGUGGCUAAUACCACAUAAAGUCAUGGGCUUGAAGGCCUAUGACCAAAGGCGAAAGCCGCCUGGGGAUGGGCCUGCGGCCUAUCAGGUAGUUGGUAGGGUAAUGGCCUACCAAGCC
Molecule: ribosomal RNA, 257 nt
Filed under: uncultured Nitrospirota bacterium
Lineage: Bacteria; Pseudomonadati; Nitrospirota
Description: uncultured Nitrospirae bacterium partial 16S ribosomal RNA
Rfam family: Bacterial small subunit ribosomal RNA
Source: RNAcentral